GUAGGUGGCAAGCGUUGUCCGGAAUUAUUGGGCGUAAAGCGCGCGCAGGCGGUUCUUUAAGUCUGAUGUGAAAGCCCACGGCUCAACCGUGGAGGGUCAUUGGAAACUGGAGAACUUGGGUACAGAAGAGGAAAGCGGAAUUCCACGUGUAGCGGUGAAAUGCGUAGAGAUGUGGAGGAACACCAGUGGCGAAGGCGGCUUUCUGGUCUGUAACUGACGCUGAGGCGCGAAAGCGUGGGGAGCAAACAGGGAUUAGAUACCCUGGUAGUCCACGCCGUAAACGAUGAGUGCUAAGUGUUAGGGGGGUUUCCGCCCCCUUAGUGCUGCAGCUAACGCAUUAAGCACUCCGCCUGGGGAUACGGCCGCAAGGCUG
This 373-nucleotide ribosomal RNA is filed under the name uncultured organism. RNAcentral's name for it is "partial 16S ribosomal RNA". It matches the Rfam family "Bacterial small subunit ribosomal RNA", at positions 527 to 896 of the family's 1533-position model. The record is from RNAcentral.